GAUGAACGCUAGCUACAGGCUUAACACAUGCAAGUCGCGGGGCAGCAUGGGGGUUGCUUGCAAUCCCCGAUGGCGACCGGCGCACGGGUGAGUAACGCGUAUCCAACCUGCCCUUCACCACGGGAUAACCCGGCGAAAGUCGGACUAAUACCGUAUGUUGUCCAUUGACGGCCUCCGAUUUGGACGAAAGGUUUGGCGGUGAAGGAUGGGGAUGCGUCCGAUUAGCUGGACGGCGGGGUGACGGCCCACCGUGUCGACGAUCGGUAGGGGUUCUGAGAGGAAGGUCCCCCACACGGGAACUGAGACACGGUCCAGACUCCUACGGGAGGCAGCAGUGAGGAAUAUUGAUCAAUGGGCGUAAGCCUGAACCAGCCAAGUAGCGUGCAGGAUGACGGCCCUAUGGGUUGUAAACUGCUUUUAUGCGGGGAUAAAGUGGCCCACGUGUGGGUUUUUGCAGGUACCGCAUGAAUAAGGACCGGCUAAUUCCGUG
Molecule: ribosomal RNA, 490 nt
Filed under: uncultured bacterium
Lineage: Bacteria
Description: partial 16S ribosomal RNA
Rfam family: Bacterial small subunit ribosomal RNA
Source: RNAcentral